Molecule: non-coding RNA, 225 nt
Organism: Pelobates cultripes (western spadefoot toad)
Lineage: Eukaryota; Metazoa; Chordata; Amphibia; Anura; Pelobatidae
Source: the annotation of a GenBank genome assembly
GCCUUAGUUCCCUUCAUGCUUUGAACCCUCUGGUACAGUUAGAAGCCAGGUAUUUCUCAUUUUUAUUGUGGGGUUGUGUCUGCUGCCACAUCUGAUAGGGAUUUCUUCACUCUUGGUUGAAUAAUGUAAUUGGGUAGUAUUAAAGGAACACUAUAGGGUCAGGAACACAAAAAUGUAUUCCUAACCCUAUAGUGUUAAAACCACCACCUAGCCCCCAGUUUCCCC